This is a long non-coding RNA of Triticum aestivum (bread wheat), 5252 nucleotides long. RefSeq lists it as uncharacterized. NCBI's taxonomy places the organism in Eukaryota, Viridiplantae, Streptophyta, Magnoliopsida, Poales, Poaceae. The record is from RefSeq and is a predicted model, not a curated record. The transcript is spliced from 5 exons.
GAGAAGCCGUCGCCCCCAUCUCCCGUUCCGCCGCCGCCGCCCCCCGCCUUCCCCUAUCUCCCUGUCAGCCACCUCCACCACCCCCACGCUUCUCCUCACCACAACAGAUCCCUUCGCCGCCGCCCUCGCACUCGCACCAAGCCGCCGCCGAUCCCUGCGUCCCAGCGGAUCCGUUCGUCGCUGCCGAUCCUUCGCUGCCGUCGAUCUCGUUGCUACAUCGACGGCAACCAGGGGUCGUCCUCCGCCCGGCCGCGGCGGAGACCAAGCAGGAGUCCUCCAAGGAUGACUCCCGCGGGAUCAUCCUGAUCCUGUUCGAGAAGUUCGGCUUCUCCCACCGCGGGUCCGUCUCCAUCGCGCUCACCGGCGCCAGGGCUGCCUCCAAGCUCGCCAAGCCGGACCCUUCGCAGCUCGGCUUCUUCCUUUGGUGAUAUUGAAGAUGAAAUUAUUAUUAUCCCUGCUCGCCGGUCAUCGCCCCGCCAAACGCAACCGCACCCCCGUCGACCCCGGCUGCUUGCCUGCCUUCCCUGCCGUCCUCGGCCGUAGGACGCCGCCACACUUCCUAUCUGCAUCGUCCUGCUGGCGGAUCGAGGUCACGCACUGACGACCCAUCAUCUCUGACGGCGGAUCUGGCCGUGGGCGAGGAUGCCAAGCCACCUGCUCCAGUCACGGCCAUCCCGACUCCUCGUCCACCCCCUGCCCUGUCCGGUUCAUUUUCGUUCGUCCUUCAUCCUGUCCACGCCGAUUUUGUUUACCUUAUUACGAUGUCCCACCUCCUCCUGUGUUUCUGGAUUCGUUUUGUAGCCUCUGUCCUACCCCCCUCUGCAUCAACUAACUCGGCGCCGCGUGAUCCUGAGGCGGCGGGAUUGAGAGGAUGGAACUCGGCCACGGGAGGAUGGUGUUCAUCGUGUGAGGGAAGAUGAGUAUGUAACUCAUGCAGGGCAAGCUGUUGUGCGGAUGCGUGACUCGACUGCAGCGUUGAGAUGGAGGACACGUGCGCCACGGUGUCAUGCUUCACCAUCGUCCCCCUAGCCUGCUUGCAAGGCGCCGCGACCUCGAUGGAUGUGCAUGAAGUCUGCCCAUCAAUAUCAGAUAGUGGGAUUGAUGGGAUUGACGGUGCUGCUCUUGGAGGGGAUUCAUGACGCGAAUUCGUGCAGCUGGAGUAAUGCUUUUCAUUUAGCUGAAUGUAAUGCGAGCGACACUCAGAAACAUUGUGAAGAUGAUCCUGACAAAGUGAGGCAGGUGGAUGUUUUAGUUAGGAAUGUUUGCGGAUGGAUGUGAAAUGAGCUGUUCAGUACUCUCCUAUUUAGUUUCACCAUUUAGGAAUUUAUUUAUAUGGUAAGAAUUGUUAGAUUGGUUUGUGAUGAAAUGUUGCUUGGAAAUAAAUGCAUGAUAGGUUAGAGUGGGGGCCAAAAUGGUUACAAUGCUCUUGUAGGAUGAUGGAUUUUUCCAUGUAGUUUUGUAGCCUUCAUGGAAGUAAGAUUUUGUAGGCUUGUUUGGACAUUUUUGUUUGUUUCGGAAACCAGAGCAGUUCACUUUAUCCAUGUGUUUUUUCUUCUUCUCUGCACUCUACUCUUUGGGAUGAUCAAUAUGCAUUACUCUUUUUCAAAGUUUCUAUUUGGAACUAUUUUUUAUUAAACCACUGUAAGAAAAGUUUCACAAGAAACCUAAACUCUGUAACAGGUGGUCAUUAAAAAUUGUUUGCCAUGUGUAAUGAAUGUUUGCCACAAGUUAGAGAACAUAACUGGUCGUAGUUGUUUGUCAGUUCGUUUUGCUCAUGGGCAUAUAUAAUUAGCUUUUACCAGUUUUUUGAUUAUACAAGUUUUUUCCCCUCUUUUUCCACCUGUAUGUUUCUGCAAUGUGUGUACAUUCAAGCGCCACAAGGUUUAUUCUCCCACCGUGUGCCACUAAUAUUUCAUUUUUGUUGGUGAGAUUUUUAACUUCUGGAUGCACGAAUGGUUUGGAUAUUGUGUUGCGCAAUGCUACUGGGUUAUGCUAUGACCACGGACAUGCUUAUGUGAUGGAUUCGACGGUGCCGAUGUGCCUUGCCUAUAUCAACUACGGUGGCACCAACCCUCUUGACGGAGCCCCGGGAGCUGAUGUGUUUAGCAUGUCUGUUGGCCUCAAGGAUGACCAGUUCAUCUACUUGUGCAACCUAUUCUGCUCCACCAUGGGUGCCUAGGGUCACCGAUCAUACACUGCAUCGACUAACAUUGAUAUAGACGAUGAAGAUUCCAAAAUAAGUUGCCUGUUGGUUGGACAUCCCGAAGCACGGGCUGGCGGAAGGCAAAGAGAGCUUUAGCAGGGUCGAGGUUGACACCUCACCCGAUGAUCACAUGUUCUUCAAGGAAGGAUGGAAGAAGUUCCUCACGAGAACAUGACUUGAGGUGUACGAAUUAUGCCAUCGCCCGCAAUGAAGAUAAUGUUCGACGAGUUCUGGAUUUUCAUGGGUUUGGUUAGUCAUUUCUCUGGUUUUUGUAACCGAACACAUGCAUGUGUGUGUGUGUGCUUAUGUGUGGCUAGAGGCCGCAGGAACCAGUAUAUAAAUUUUGGUCUACCUUACUAAUGAUUAUCAGUGUUGAAUUUGUUAGUGUUCUCUUCUUAUUUAUUCUUUGUUCUCUGUUUCAGUCUGUUGUGUCUGAUUAUUAGCCCCCCCCCCCCCCUAGCUUCAGUGUUCUUCUACAACAAAGCAGAGGAGGUUUUGUUGUCUUUUAUUUAUUGUUAAUUCUCCAAACAAUAUCUGUAAAAUCUCUCACUUGAAUGUUUGUGUGCAGUAGUUAAUCAACCUUUCGCUGGUGUAUUCAGUUCUUUGACACACCUUUUCAUGGGAGCAGAAGGUACCUAGCUAAUUCACUAUUUUUUGAACAUGUUACAGUUUUUUCAAGUGCUCACAGAAAAGUUUGUUGUUACUUCAAAAGGUUGUGUUGAUCUGUUGCUUAGUCCAAAAAAAUGAAAUGUAAUAAUCAUGUGGUUCUAGAUGGUUAAAAAUAAGAAGCCGCGUUGGUCUUGAUUUUUUUCGCAUCAUUAUAUUGAGCCUUUUUUAGGAUAACCUUUUUACUGUUGGAAAUCAUGGGCUAAGUUUUGUGUGUACCAGAAACAGAGAACCUUGUUAACUAUAUUGUGGUGCAGAGUUGAAUAUUGUGUGGAGGUUAGUGUUGAAGAAGAUAAGUUCAUUUGUGAGUGCCUUAAUUUUGAACACUCUGAUUUGCUGUGCAGCGACACACUGAAGGUAUUACUAAUGCUACAUUGUACUUACAUUACUUGCUCUGUUAAGCAUGAGAGUUAAUGAUACUUGUGUGUAGUUAUAAUUUUUCUAGGUUGAUGCACACCUCUUUACGUUGAGCUACCUGUAACUUGCAGGCAAACACACUGCACUAGAUGUUUGCUUGCUCCUUCUACUCCUAAUUGCUGCACCAUUAAAGGUCACUGCAUCUGAUAUUGAUCAAUUAACAUCAUGCAUGUACUUUCACACGCCUGUGAUGGCAAGAAGGCAUCAGAUGUCUUAGUAUGUUUAUUGCUCCAUGGUGUUGGGAUUAUCUAAUUUUGCUGCACUUACACAUUUUUUGGUUCUGUUGAUCUUAGGUAACUCAGGCUUAAAGUUUCAAAAGCUAGACUGUAGGCGCAUACAUGUGGAUUCAAUCUUUUUUUCUUAAGAGCAACUCCAACGCAGUGACUCAAAUCGUGUCCGUAUGGGUCGGCCGAGCGGACGGAUUUGCCUAUUUUUUCAUUUGGGUCAUCCAGUGCACCCAACGGUAGCUGACACAUUUUGUGACGCGUCUGCCCUGACAUUUUGUCAAACACGUAGCAGGCAGGGGAGCUCGCGGCAGCUUGGCGUGGCGAGGCGAGGCUGGGAUGGGCGUGUGAGUAGUGAGGCGGCCAGGCACGAGGAGGCGAGGCGACCGGGCGCACGAGGCUGCUGGGCACGGCGAGGCGAGGCCGGGCCGGACGCGCGAGCACCUAGCAGGCGUGGCCGCCGCCUGCGUCGACCAGGAGCACACACCCGCGGAGAAAUGCCGUGGCCUGGCGCUGCCCGUCGCGGAGCUCGCGAGGGACUCCUUUGUCAUGGGCGGACGCUGCCUGUCACGACGCUCGUGAGGUCCAGCUUGGGAUGCAUGGAGUCCAGAGCGCGGCAGAACUGCACGGCGGCUGUCGAGGUGGGCGAGCACGGCGGUGGCAGCUGCAGCAGCUGCUGCUGCUCAUAAGUCCGCUGUGGUGACUGUGUCUGCUGUUGUUCCUGCUUGCGCGGCAGCGGUGACUGCUGAUGUUGCUCAUGCGUCUGUUGUUCCUGAGUGCGCGGGGGCGCGGAGGUGAUGGCGUUGCGGCGGCGGUGACUGCAUUGGGCAAAUAUUUUCGUCUGCGCAGACACAAACAGACAAAAUGGGUGGGAUUGGUAGCAAAGCUGUUCUGUUGGACUAUGCAGUUCAUUGGCCAUGGAGUUUUUGCGGCAAGUCUCUAUCAAGCUAUUAACGUUAGGUUAAGCACUAUCUGAAGUAAAUUUCUGCCCAAAUAUUAUACUUGACACUUACUCUGACUGUAGAACCGGACACGUGCUCUACUUCAUAGCAUUCUGGUUUUCAUGCAAUGUGCAAAAGCUGAUUAAUGCUAAACGCAGGAGUGGGUGGAUAAGAAAGCAAAUAUAAUGUCUUGAGAAGUGACCAAAAACUCAUGAUGCUAUGUUUGUUGUGUUGUGUAACAGUGUAAGAUGAGAAUGAUUCACCCUGUUUGCUAUCUCUGUGUUACUUCAGAUAAACUAAACCGCAGACUAAUAUCACCCUGAGAUGUGAGCAUGAAAUCCCGAUGCUAUGUUUGUUGUGUAACAACAUUAUUAAGAUGAGACCCGUCUUGUGUGUUAUCGCAUUUGUGUUGGUGAAGAUAGAGUGAACUGUAGAGUAAUAUUAUAUUUUAUGAUAAAUAUGUUUACUUGUAGAUUUAUCUUCUACAUGCAAUACACACUCUUGUACGUCGUUCACAAACAUACACAUCAUGUGUAUAUUCUGGAUGCUAUCCAUACAUCACAAGGUCAAAACUCCCAUGUAUUUACUGAAAUUACAAAGAUUUGUGAGGAAAUUCAACGAUGUACUGGAAAUAAAGCAGCCCGACUGAAAUUCUGAUAUAUCUAGAUGACAAUGUUUAUUUCCGCUUGGUAUUCCAACGAGCAUAGAUGGACAAUAAAUUUAUAUUUUAAAUUAUCAUAACAUUCAAAAUAAUAUGGAUUUCGUAAAUUGCAGGGAUGUGUGACUAUUUAUUUUAUUUUA